Molecule: ribosomal RNA, 429 nt
Filed under: bacterium
Lineage: Bacteria
Description: partial 16S ribosomal RNA
Rfam family: Bacterial small subunit ribosomal RNA
Source: RNAcentral
UAGGGAAUCUUCGGCAAUGGGGGCAACCCUGACCGAGCAACGCCGCGUGAGUGAAGAAGGUUUUCGGAUCGUAAAGCUCUGUUGUAAGAGAAGAACGUGUGUGAGAGUGGAAAGUUCACACAGUGACGGUAACUUACCAGAAAGGGACGGCUAACUACGUGCCAGCAGCCGCGGUAAUACGUAGGUCCCGAGCGUUGUCCGGAUUUAUUGGGCGUAAAGCGAGCGCAGGCGGUUUAAUAAGUCUGAAGUUAAAGGAAGUGGCUUAACCAUUGUUAGCUUUGGAAACUGUUAAACUAGAGUGCAGAAGGGGAGAGUGGAAUUCCAUGUGUAGCGGUGAAAUGCGUAGAUAUAUGGAGGAACACCGGUGGCGAAAGCGGCUAUCUGGUCUGUAACUGACGCUGAGGCUCGAAAGCGUGGGGAGCAAACAGG